Molecule: unclassified non-coding RNA, 615 nt
Filed under: Hevea brasiliensis (rubber tree)
Lineage: Eukaryota; Viridiplantae; Streptophyta; Magnoliopsida; Malpighiales; Euphorbiaceae
Source: RNAcentral
AUGCCUCAUCUUCAAGGUCAUCAAAGACAAGCUGUUCUUCUUCUUCUUCAUUGUCCGUUAAUGCUUCUUCAAUUAUGGUUGGUUUGAGAACUGGCUCAGGCUGCGAGUUUCUCUUCUUGGCAUGAAGUGUGCUAGACUUUAUUGGACUUAAAUGAAACGGCUGUAUCCAAAAUGAAAACGCGAAGUUGUGGUUUGAAAGAGAAGACCAGUAGCCGCAAGAGAAGCUCUUGUUUGGUGGAACUGAGAUUACAGAGACUCUCAUAUUCUUCCAAGGUGAAAUCAAAUCCAUUUUUCAGAAGUGAGAAUUUUAUUUCCCUUCCCUCCUUAAUACAGCGGUGUGAAGAGCAUGAGCAAUUCUUAGAAAAUGGAGAAGUUACUGAUAUUUUAGGGGGAUAGAGAAGCUUGUGGAGCUUUAAGCAGGCUGCCAUGUUUCAAGUAAACGAUGUCGUUGAUACGCAGUGCAUUGAAAACGACGUCGAUGCUUGUGGUUCCCAGGCCUCCUUGGCCGGUUGAAAUUUUUCAAGGUAGGGAAGCCAUUAAGAGAGCGCAAUAGAAUUUUGCGAUUGCUUUCAGCUAGUGGAAUCUCCCGAAUAAUUCUUGUUCUUUUGAUCUGAA